AUUGAACGCUGGCGGCAUGCUUUACACAUGCAAGUCGAACGGCAGCGCCGUCUUCGGCCUGGCUGCGAGCGGCGAAUUGGUGUGUAAUACAUCGGAACGUCCCCAGUAGUACGCUGUAGCUCGUCGAGAGCCGGAUUAAUACCGCCUACGACCUGAGCGUGCAGGCGGGGGGUCGUCGGAUCUCGCGGUAUUGGAGGGUCUGACGGCAGAUUUGCUAGUUGGUGGGGUAAAGGCCUUCCAAGCCGACGAUUUGUAGUCGGUCUGAGAGGACGUCUAGCCACACUGGGAAGGAGACACGGCCCAGACUCCUACGGGACGCGUCCGUGGGGAAAUUUGGACCAUGGGCGAAAGCCUGAUCCAGAAAGGCCGCGUGUUAGAUGAAGGACUACGGGUUGUAAAGCACUUUUGGCGGGAACGAAAACGACUGUGCCAAUACCACGGCUCGAUGACGGUACCCGCAGAAUAAGCAACGGCUAACUACGUG
This 484-nucleotide ribosomal RNA is filed under the name uncultured bacterium. RNAcentral describes it as "partial 16S ribosomal RNA". It matches the Rfam family "Bacterial small subunit ribosomal RNA", at positions 30 to 507 of the family's 1533-position model. The record is from RNAcentral.